This 74-nucleotide transfer RNA is filed under the name Verrucomicrobiota bacterium. Its description in RNAcentral is "Verrucomicrobia bacterium tRNA-Arg". It matches the Rfam family "tRNA". From Rfam's summary of the family: Transfer RNA (tRNA) molecules are approximately 80 nucleotides in length. Their secondary structure includes four short double-helical elements and three loops (D, anti-codon, and T loops). The record is from RNAcentral. Lineage: Bacteria; Pseudomonadati; Verrucomicrobiota. RNAcentral also lists the same sequence under 1 other name.
GCACUCGUAGCUCAAUUGGAUAGAGCGUCGGCCUCCGGAGCCGAAGGUUUCGGGUUCAAAUCCCGACGAGUGCA